RNAcentral lists this ribosomal RNA (424 nucleotides) under uncultured bacterium. RNAcentral describes it as "bacterial SSU rRNA". It matches the Rfam family "Bacterial small subunit ribosomal RNA", at positions 358 to 773 of the family's 1533-position model. The record is from RNAcentral.
GGAAUAUUGCACAAUGGGCGCAAGCCUGACCCAGCAACGCCGCGUGAGGGAUGAAGGCCCUCGGGUCGUAAACCUCUGUCGGGAGGGAAGAACGGUUGCCAUUCGCACAGGUUGGCAGCCUGCCGGUACCUCCAAAGGAAGCACCGGCUAACUCCGUGCCAGCAGCCGCGGUAAUACGGAGGGUGCGAGCGUUGUUCGGAAUCAUUGGGCGUAAAGCGCGUGUAGGCGGCUUGGUAAGUCGGGUGUGAAAUCCCGGGGCCCAACCCCGGAACUGCAUUCGAAACUGCCUCGCUAGAGUCCCGGAGAGGAAGGCGGAAUUCCCGGUGUAGAGGUGAAAUUCGUAGAUAUCGGGAGGAACACCAGCGGCGAAGGCGGCCUUCUGGACGGUGACUGACGCUGAGACGCGAAAGCGUGGGGAGCAAAC